UCUUAUAUGGAGAGUUUGAUCCUGGCUCAGGACGAACGCUGGCGGCGUGCCUAAUACAUGCAAGUCGAGCGGACGGGUGGGAGCUUGCUCCCAGACCGUCAGCGGCGGACGGGUGAGUAACACGUGGGCAACCUGCCUGUAAGACUGGGAUAACUCCGGGAAACCGGGGCUAAUACCGGAUAACUCUUUCCCUCACAUGAGGGAAAGCUGAAAGAUGGCAUCUCGCUAUCACUUACAGAUGGGCCCGCGGCGCAUUAGCUAGUUGGUGAGGUAACGGCUCACCAAGGCCACGAUGCGUAGCCGACCUGAGAGGGUGAUCGGCCACACUGGGACUGAGACACGGCCCAGACUCCUACGGGAGGCAGCAGUAGGGAAUCUUCCGCAAUGG
This 388-nucleotide ribosomal RNA is filed under the name Cytobacillus firmus. RNAcentral describes it as "bacterial SSU rRNA". It matches the Rfam family "Bacterial small subunit ribosomal RNA", at positions 1 to 374 of the family's 1533-position model. The record is from RNAcentral. Lineage: Bacteria; Bacillati; Bacillota; Bacilli; Caryophanales; Bacillaceae.